GGCUGACUGCGUGGGUUCUCACAUAUUGCCCUCUCCUCUACAGCUACCACCUGUCUGGGUUCAACCAGCAGAAUGGGCAAACAAAACAUUUCAGCAGAAGCGUGCAGAGGUGCUUGGGGCGCUCAGGGUGUUACAAGAUGGCGUGCAACGGGCAACAAGUCAGACCACUUUGCAAUGUCAGGCCUCAUUACUGGAAAGACUCGGGCAUCAUGUCACAAAUUAUGUCGGCCUCGUCAGCAGCCUCCAGAUUCAGGCUGACAGGGAGACGUCAUCUCAUCCUGAAGUACCAAACAGUCCCCCUCAAACCAGUCUGACCAAAGUGCUGGAACGGUACAGGAAUCUGCUGAAGGGGAAACUGGAGCGCCUUGCUGUCGACCUUAAAGACAGUUUGUGCCACGCAGAGCACAGGACAGACGAUUCCUGAGAGCUGGACAAGCUCGACGUGGACGUAGAGACCUGGAUUGUUAAGAUCCUGGAUGUUUCCAUUUACUCUGGAAACGAGGAUUCAUGAGGACAUGAACCAGUGAGUGGUUCAGGAGGCCGAAGGGAGGAGCAAUAACGAUGAGUUGAAUGUAAUGAAACUCCCAUGGAGGGACUGUAGGAGUGUGUGGAAAGAUGAUCUGAAACAGAGCUGAGGGGUUUGUCAGGCUUGUUGAGGCUUGAUAAGCUGCUUUCCCAGAUAAAUGUGUGUAAUUCUUCUUCUGAGGAAUAAAUAGAGUACAGCUUAACUCUGACCGACUGACCACAAGGACUCUGGGGCCUGAUUCCAAGAAAAAUCUGCGUCCACUAAAUCUGUGAAAAUGAGUCGUAAAGACGCCGUCUAAUUAAUAAAAUACAUGCAAAGGGUUAAAGUGCUGACUUAUCUCAAUCCAUUCGAUAGUGUGGAUGUAUUUCCCUUUCUGAUUGGCAAUCAGAUAUUUAGGAACAUGCUGGUAAUGACCUUUAACCGACCUUUAACUGGAACCACAGAGCUCGAUUCUGGGAGACUUCAGGGAGGGAGUUUGGACUUGGAUCACUACGAACCUGUUUUGUAGUGUCAAGACCACAAUAACCGAGACAAAGACAUACUUGAGACCAGAGUGCUCUGAGACCGGGACAAGACCAAGACCUAGGCAGGGCGAGGGUCUGGUCUCUGUUACUGACCACAAAGACUCGGGGCGCCAGGGUCUGGUCUCUGUUACUGACUACGAAGACUCGGGGCGCCAGGGUCUGGUCUCUGUGACUGACCACGAAGACUCGGGGCGCCAGGGUCUGGUCUCUGUGACUGACCAGGAAGACUUGGGGCGUCAGGGUCUCAGGGCGCCAGGGUCUGGUCUCUGUUACUGACCACCAAGACUCAGGGCGUCAGGGUCUCAGGGCGCCAGGGUCUGGUCUCUGUGAUUGACCAAGAAGACUCAGGGCGUCAGGGUCUGGUCUCUGUUACUGACCAAGAAGACUCAGGGCGUCAGGGUCUCAGGGCGCCAGGGUCUGGUCUCUGUGAUUGACCAAGAAGACUCAGGGCGUCAGGGUCUGGUCUCUGUGAUUGACCAAGAAGACUCAGGGCGUCAGGGUCUCGUCUCUGUGACUAACUACCAAGACUCAGGGCGUCAGGGUCUCAGGGCGUCAGGGUCUCAGGGCGUCAGGGUCUGGUCUCUGUGACUGACCUCAUUGAAACGAGUCGAUUGUGUAAUGAUGUUCUCUUCUCUGCAGAUUAUAGUUCUAGGAUUUUAUGAUGUCAGUCCAUCAGCUGCUUGUUUGUUCCUGUUUUUAUUUCAAGUGGAUUUUUGUUGAUGUAAAGCACUUUGUGAUGUUUGUCUGUUAAACGGUUCAUGAAUAAACUUUACUCUCUCUAUGA
Molecule: non-coding RNA, 1834 nt
Organism: Labrus bergylta (ballan wrasse)
Lineage: Eukaryota; Metazoa; Chordata; Actinopteri; Labriformes; Labridae
Source: RefSeq, a predicted model, not a curated record